This 669-nucleotide small RNA is filed under the name Pongo abelii (Sumatran orangutan). Its description in RNAcentral is "processed transcript". Lineage: Eukaryota; Metazoa; Chordata; Mammalia; Primates; Hominidae. The record is from RNAcentral.
AGACGUCUUAUUUUUCCCUUCAGCUAUAAUAACCAUAAAACUAUUUCCUAGAAGUCUGCUGUCAAUUUAACACUAAUUAAGAAAAACCUUAACUUCUGCCCUUUUUUUCCUAGAUGAGAAUGAGGAUUUAAGGAAACUUGCAGAGAAUGAAAUAACUUUGUGUCAAAAAGAAAUAACUCAGCUGAAGCAUCAGAUUAUCUUACUUUUGGUUCCCUCAGAAGAAACAGAUGAAAAUGAUUUGAUCCUGGAAGUGGCCUUAGACAAGCAUCUGCCAGCAUUGGGGGUUCAGAAGCCUAUAGGCACAUGAAAUUUGAAGGAGGUGUUCACAGAGUACAAAGAGUACCAAAGACAGAAAAGCAAGGCCGCGUCCAUACUAGCACCAUGACUGUAGCAAUACUACCCCAGCCUACUGAGAUUAAUCUGGUGAUUAAUCCGAAAGAUUUGAGAAUUGACACUAAGCGAGCCAGUGGAGCUGGGGGACAGCAUGUAAAUACCACAGACAGUGCUGUCCGGAUAGUUCAUCUUCCAACAGGUGUUGUUUCUGAAUGUCAACAAGAGAGAUCUCAGCUGAAAAAUAAAGAGCUGGCUAUGACAAAGUUACGUGCAAAACUGUACAGCAUGCAUCUAGAAGAAGAAACAAAUAAGAGACAGAAUGCUAGAAAAAUUCAG